Molecule: long non-coding RNA, 1268 nt
Organism: Serinus canaria (Common canary)
Lineage: Eukaryota; Metazoa; Chordata; Aves; Passeriformes; Fringillidae
Exons: 2
Source: RefSeq, a predicted model, not a curated record
UCCCUCCUGCUUCCCACCACAGGCUCAGCUUCCCUCGUCCUCCCGAGAAGGACAGGGUGUAACAUCGCGCUGCAGCUCCUUCCAGCCGACUUGUGUCACUUUGCUUCUCAAAAGGAGUCUUUAGAUGCCUUUGACCUCUUGUAUGGUAUCCUUUCUAGUUUAUCUUUCGAUUUCUUCAUGUUCUCCUUUUUGAUCACACCAAAGGAUUGCAGACACUGAGCAGCUCCUUAAUAUGAGAAUUUUGAAGCAUACAUUCUUUACAGCAAGACAAAGUUACAAUUGCUCUGUCGCUCGAAAUGUUUGGAAGAAAAAAUUAUGUUAAAAAAAGUCAAACCAUGACAGUCUGACCCAAAGCUCGCUGUCCUGCCAUAAACUUUGGUGAAGUUUGGAGCAGGGACUGUGUAUUUCAAUAUUGAACUUGAACACACCUCUUAAAAAAAAAAAAAAAAAAAAAAAGGGGGAAAGAAAAGUGGCAAACAUUUCAGUAAACAGCAGCAAUGAGUACACUUCUGAUUAAGGCAUAAACAGGUCCAGAAAAUGUCACCAGCCCACACAUGCCCAGGUACAGAAAUCCCUGUUGGGGAAAAAGGUCUUUGGUGUACAAUCACAUUUGUAAUGAUGCAAGCUGCAAAGGGUAAGUAAUAAAAAUAGCGCAUUGCCAGAUUUUGUAAAUAACACAGGGCUGGUGUGCGCAGCUGCAAAAAAGCUCUCUAAGCAUGGGUACUACGUUCCUGCCUGUGUGACCAUGGAACUUCUGGGCCCGUGAGAGGGGCUGUAAGCGUGGAGCUCACUGUCCUAGCCUGCGAGAAGCCCAUGCCUCUCCCUCUCACAGCACAGUCCCGCUGGGAAAGCUCUGUGGCUGGGGAUGGAGCAGGCUGGUCUGUCAGCAGAGGGAAGAAGGAGAGGAAAUAAUGAAGGCUUCCCUGAGGGAAGCUGAGCAGAAAAGACCUUUCGACCUGACUAAUGGCUGACAUACGAGACUCCUGUGCCGGAUCAAUUGCUUCGACAAAUGCGAAGGGUGACGGCUGGGAAGAUCACAAAACCCCUGCGCCUGGGGAGCUGCACGGGCUCGGCAUUGAGAUGAAGGCACUCGCUUGCCUGGGUGGAAGCAGAAACCAGAAACUGAAUUUCACAUUGACAAAUUUCACACUUGAUAGGUUUUGAUCAGACCUGGAGAGUCGUAGCUGUUAAAAUGCAACCUGAAUGCAACUUUCACAUUGGAUAACUAGAUAAUGCAACUCUGGAUGAAUUAAAAAUAUAGGGUGCAA